UCGCCGCAGCAGGCGGUAGAAAAGGCAAAAGAAAUGAAAAUGACUUGGAAACGGGCGAUUGUAUGCAAGUGUGCGACUUUAGUACUUGGCAAACUGUCAGUGAGUGUGAACGUUCAACAACGGUAUCGCUGAUUACUUUUCGUUUAAUUGUUGUUGGUUGGUCGAUCUGAUAUAGAACGGCGGAUACGGAUCCAACGAAAGAAUAUACGAAUUGUAUUAACGCUGGAAAAUCGAAGAAAUAUUGAAAAGAAAAAUAAGCGUGAGAAAUAUUAACUCCAUACGGUGGGGUACGAGUAGAAUUGGACGAGCGUGUCGCCAGCGAUCGCGUGUGUGUUUCUAUGCAUUUUUGCUCCUCCAAUUGUUUUCCUCAUGCCUUAGUCGGCAAGUUUUAAGUAUAUGCUCGUGUCUUAAAUGUUUUUGUGACUUAGCUUCCAAAAACCGAUUUUUCAAUUUAGUUCGAUUUUAUUCGAAAGAAAAUAAUUUAAAAAAUAUAUUUAAUUUAGAAAUUUGUGAAUGUCCUUUCAAAUAAGUUGCCAAAACGUGUGUGAAACCCACAUACAUACAUAAAUACCUACGAAGCCUGAAAGCAAUCGAAAAGCGAGUUAAACGGCAGUUUCAAAUAUUUUAAAAUAAUCAAAAAUCAGUGAGUGAAUUAUUCCAGUGUAACUCAAAGUGUAAUUCAAGUGCAUACCAUAAAAUAUCGCACAGAGCGUUGAAAAGGAAGAAAAAAGUGAAAUAAAAAGUCAAUAAACAAUACAAAAAAAUAUAAA
Long non-coding RNA from Anastrepha ludens (Mexican fruit fly), 770 nucleotides. RefSeq lists it as uncharacterized. The record is from RefSeq and is a predicted model, not a curated record. NCBI's taxonomy places the organism in Eukaryota, Metazoa, Arthropoda, Insecta, Diptera, Tephritidae. The transcript is spliced from 3 exons.